Molecule: ribosomal RNA, 509 nt
Filed under: Escherichia coli
Lineage: Bacteria; Pseudomonadati; Pseudomonadota; Gammaproteobacteria; Enterobacterales; Enterobacteriaceae
Description: bacterial SSU rRNA
Rfam family: Bacterial small subunit ribosomal RNA
Source: RNAcentral
UUAAAUUGAAGAGUUUGAUCAUGGCUCAGAUUGAACGCUGGCGGCAGGCCUAACACAUGCAAGUCGAACGGUAACAGGAARCAGCUUGCUGYUUCGCUGACGAGUGGCGGACGGGUGAGUAAUGUCUGGGAAACUGCCUGAUGGAGGGGGAUAACUACUGGAAACGGUAGCUAAUACCGCAUAACGUCGCAAGACCAAAGAGGGGGACCUUCGGGCCUCUUGCCAUCGGAUGUGCCCAGAUGGGAUUAGCUAGUAGGUGGGGUAACGGCUCACCUAGGCGACGAUCCCUAGCUGGUCUGAGAGGAUGACCAGCCACACUGGAACUGAGACACGGUCCAGACUCCUACGGGAGGCAGCAGUGGGGAAUAUUGCACAAUGGGCGCAAGCCUGAUGCAGCCAUGCCGCGUGUAUGAAGAAGGCCUUCGGGUUGUAAAGUACUUUCAGCGGGGAGGAAGGGAGUAAAGUUAAUACCUUUGCUCAUUGACGUUACCCGCAGAAGAAGCACCGGC